UUUCGUUGGUAAUUACCGACGAAACAUUUGGUCGUUAUUUUUAUUAUUUGGUCGCUACUUUUGCCGCUAAUGUUAGGCACCACUUUUACCUACAAGAUUACAUCAUCGGUAAAGUUUUAGUCGGUAAUUUCGUCGGUAAAAAUUAGUUUAAAUUUUAUUUCUCUUUUUGUCGGUAAAGCGUCGGUAAUUCGUCGGUAAAUUACCCACGAAAUUUUACAGUCGGUAAUUUUCAUAGUUAUUUUUAACUUUUCUUAUAGUGAAAUAAUUUUAAAUUUUAUCAAAAAGAUGGUUCAAUAAUUAAAUUUAUGAGGGGUCAACGUACACAAAUAUUUGAAGAUACAAAGAAUAUUUAACAAAAAAGAGGGUUCAACUGAACCCGCAUCUUAUACAUUAGAUCCGCCAUUGGGAUCAACUGUGUCAGCUAAUUAGAUGUGAGAAAACAAACAUAAUUUUCUAAGAGAAGCAUACAAAUAUUUGAGGAAUUGAAGUCAACUACAACCAGACUCACACUGACAAUGAAGUUCAAAUCCACUGACAUAAAAGCUCCUUGUGAACAAGUUAUAUACACAAAUAGCUAAAUAAAAUGUAGGCAAUAUCAUCAACAG
Molecule: unclassified non-coding RNA, 605 nt
Filed under: Hevea brasiliensis (rubber tree)
Lineage: Eukaryota; Viridiplantae; Streptophyta; Magnoliopsida; Malpighiales; Euphorbiaceae
Source: RNAcentral